UACGGAGGGGGCUAGCGUUGUUCGGAAUUACUGGGCGUAAAGCGCACGUAGGCGGACUGUUAAGUCGGGGGUGAAAUCCCGGGGCUCAACCCCGGAACUGCCUUCGAUACUGGCAGUCUAGAGGAAGGUAGAGGCUAGUGGAAUGGCGAGUGUAGAGGUGAAAUUCGUAGAUAUUCGCCGGAACACCAGUGGCGAAGGCGACUGGCGGGACCUUUUCUGACGCUGAGGUGCGAAAGCGUGGGGAGCAAACAGG
Molecule: ribosomal RNA, 253 nt
Filed under: uncultured bacterium
Lineage: Bacteria
Description: partial 16S ribosomal RNA
Rfam family: Bacterial small subunit ribosomal RNA
Source: RNAcentral